AUGAAGCCCAUUAUGGCGGUCCGCGUUAUCGUGACGACGACGGCGGCGCCGCAACGGUAAACACUAAAAGUUGAAACUCAUUUUGCACCGCGCGUUGUCAACACACUCGGCGGAGGCGCGAAGCCUGUGGAUGACAUUCGAUUCCCUUUGAACGCCCGUUAUAUUCUCCUCGUCUUCUCCCCUCAGAGUUUUUUUUUCUUUUUCUUUUUUUUCACCGUCUGUAAUUUCUUCUAGAACGCCAUUACUUUUUUCGCGUUUCCGGCAUACC
This is a non-coding RNA of Cinara cedri, 268 nucleotides long. The record is from the annotation of a GenBank genome assembly. NCBI's taxonomy places the organism in Eukaryota, Metazoa, Arthropoda, Insecta, Hemiptera, Aphididae.